AGCGAACGCUGGCGGCAGGCUUAACACAUGCAAGUCGAACGGGCGUAGCAAUACGUCAGUGGCAGACGGGUGAGUAACGCGUGGGAACGUACCUUUUGGUUCGGAACAACCCAGGGAAACUUGGGCUAAUACCGGGAUAAGCCCUUACGGGGAAAGAUUUAUCGCCGAAAGAUCGGCCCGCGUCUGAUUAGCUAGUUGGUGUGGUAACGGCGCACCAAGGCGACGAUCAGUAGCUGGUCUGGAGAGGAUGAUCAGCCACAUUGGGGACUGAGACACGGCCCAAACUCCUACGGGAGGCAGCAGUGGGGAAUAUUGGACAAUGGGCGCAAGCCUGAUCCAGCCAUGCCGCGU
This 351-nucleotide ribosomal RNA is filed under the name uncultured bacterium. RNAcentral describes it as "bacterial SSU rRNA". It matches the Rfam family "Bacterial small subunit ribosomal RNA", at positions 29 to 402 of the family's 1533-position model. The record is from RNAcentral.